AUUGAACGCUGGCGGCAUGCCUUACACAUGCAAGUCGAACGGCAGCGCGGACUUCGGUCUGGCGGCGAGUGGCGAACGGGUGAGUAAUACAUCGGAACGUACCUUGUUGUGGGGGAUAACUAGUCGAAAGAUUAGCUAAUACCGCAUACGACCUGAGGGUGAAAGUGGGGGACCGCAAGGCCUCACGCAGCAGGAGCGGCCGAUGUCUGAUUAGCUAGUUGGUGGGGUAAAGGCCCACCAAGGCGACGAUCAGUAGCUGGUCUGAGAGGACGAUCAGCCACACUGGGACUGAGACACGGCCAAGACUCCUACGGGAGGCAGCAGUGGGGAAUUUUGGACAAUGGGGGCAACCCUGAUCCAGCAAUGCCGCGUGUGUGAAGAAGGCCUUCGGGUUGUAAAGCACUUUUGUCCGGAAAGAAAUCGCGCUGGUUAAUACCUGGCGUGGAUGACGGUACCGGAAGAAUAAGCACCGGCUAACUACGUGCCAGCAGCCGCCGUAA
This 500-nucleotide ribosomal RNA is filed under the name uncultured bacterium. RNAcentral's name for it is "partial 16S ribosomal RNA". It matches the Rfam family "Bacterial small subunit ribosomal RNA", at positions 30 to 523 of the family's 1533-position model. The record is from RNAcentral.